GACAGAGGGUGCAAACGUUGUUCGGAUUUACUGGGCGUAAAGCGCGUGUAGGCGGCUUGGCAAGUCGGAUGUGAAAGCCCACGGCUCAACCGUGGAAGCGCAUCCGAAACUGCUUCACUCGAGUCUCGGAGAGGAAGGUGGAAUGCUUGGUGUAGAGGUGAAAUUCGUAGAUAUCAAGCAGAACACCUGCGGCGAAGGCGGCCUUCUGGACGAUGACUGACGCUGAGACGCGAAAGCGUGGGGAGCAAACAGG
RNAcentral lists this ribosomal RNA (253 nucleotides) under uncultured bacterium. RNAcentral's name for it is "partial 16S ribosomal RNA". It matches the Rfam family "Bacterial small subunit ribosomal RNA", at positions 524 to 776 of the family's 1533-position model. The record is from RNAcentral.